GGAGAAAGCAGGGGAUCGCAAGACCUUGCGCUAAAGGAGCGGCCGAUGUCUGAUUAGUUAGUUGGUGGGGUAAAGGCCUACCAAGGCAACGAUCAGUAGCUGGUCUGAGAGGACGAUCAGCCACACUGGGACUGAGACACGGCCCAGACUCCUACGGGAGGCAGCAGUGGGGAAUUUUGGACAAUGGGCGAAAGCCUGAUCCAGCCAUGCCGCGUGAAUGAAGAAGGCCUUCGGGUUGUAAAGUUCUUUUAGUUGGAAAGAAAAAAUUAUGAUGAAUAAUCAUAAUUCAUGACGGUACCGACAGAAAAAGCACCGGCUAACUACGUGCCAGCAGCCGCGGUAAUACGUAGGGUGCAAGCGUUAAUCGGAGGUACUGGGCGUAAAGGGUGUGCAGGCGGCCUUGUAAGUCAGAUGUGAAAGCCCCCCCGGGGGC
Molecule: ribosomal RNA, 433 nt
Filed under: uncultured Nitrosomonas sp.
Lineage: Bacteria; Pseudomonadati; Pseudomonadota; Betaproteobacteria; Nitrosomonadales; Nitrosomonadaceae
Description: bacterial SSU rRNA
Rfam family: Bacterial small subunit ribosomal RNA
Source: RNAcentral